GGAGAGAUGCCGGAGUGGUCGAACGGGCCUGACUUGAAAUCAGGUAGGCGGUGACGAACCGCCUCGGGGGUUCGAAUCCCUCUCUCUCCG
This 90-nucleotide transfer RNA is filed under the name Bacteroidota bacterium. RNAcentral describes it as "Bacteroidetes bacterium (sediment metagenome) tRNA-Ser". It matches the Rfam family "tRNA". From Rfam's summary of the family: Transfer RNA (tRNA) molecules are approximately 80 nucleotides in length. Their secondary structure includes four short double-helical elements and three loops (D, anti-codon, and T loops). RNAcentral also lists the same sequence under 1 other name. Lineage: Bacteria; Pseudomonadati; Bacteroidota. The record is from RNAcentral.